RNAcentral lists this ribosomal RNA (556 nucleotides) under uncultured bacterium. RNAcentral describes it as "partial 16S ribosomal RNA". It matches the Rfam family "Bacterial small subunit ribosomal RNA", at positions 355 to 932 of the family's 1533-position model. The record is from RNAcentral.
UGGGGAAUAUUGCACAAUGGGCGAAAGCCUGAUGCAGCAACGCCGCGUGAGUGAUGAAGGCCUUCGGGUUGUAAAGCUCUGUCUUUUGGGACGAUAAUGACGGUACCAAAGGAGAAAGCCACGGCUAACUACGUGCCAGCAGCCGCGGUAAUACGUAGGUGGCAAGCGUUGUCCGGAUUUACUGGGCGUAAAGGAUGCGUAGGCGGAUUUUUAAGUGAGAUGUGAAAUACCCGGGCUUAACUUGGGUGCUGCAUUUCAAACUGGGAAUCUAGAGUGCGGGAGGGGAGAAUGGAAUUCCUAGUGUAGCGGUGAAAUGCGUAGAGAUUAGGAAGAACACCAGUGGCGAAGGCGAUUCUCUGGACCGUAACCGACGCUGAGGCAUGAAAGCGUGGGUAGCAAACAGGAUUAGAUACCCUGGUAGUCCACGCCGUAAACGAUGAGUACUAGGUGUAGGAGGUAUCGACCCCUUCUGUGCCGCAGUUAACACAAUAAGUACUCCGCCUGGGAAGUACGAUCGCAAGAUUAAAACUUAAAUGAAUUGACGGGGUCAUAGCUG